CCUCUCUUCCCCGAGCCUUCUUCCCGAUCUCUCCUCCUCGCCACCGAGUCUCUCUCGCGUCGCCGCCGAUCGCCGCGAGCUCACCGUCGGCGGAGGUUUUCCUCUCUGGAGUCUCACCAACGUCAAGCUUCCUUGGCUACCGAUGGUCGAUUCUCUCCGCCCCUGAUCAAUCAUGCUUGCCGAGCCCUAGUUUUUGUUCCGGCGUUGCUGGAUUAACCUCAGAUCCGAUCGCCGGUGUAGGUUCAUUGCCGGUGCUUUGCAUUUGGAUCAUUGCUUCGUGUGAGUAGAGCUUCGAUCAGGAAGGGGGUCCUAGCCCUAGCCUCGAUUCUCCUCUGUUCUUGGUGUUGUGCCCUAGCUCUGAAUUUCGCCUCCUCUUCAGAGCAAUGGGGUUCCGACAAUGAGACAGCGAGGGUUACGGGAUUGGAGAAGAAGAAGAGUGAGGUUUUGUUCUGUGGGGAUUCGAUUGAAGAGGGGUUGCUUGAGCUGUGGUUUGUGCUUGAUCAGUAGUCUUCCUGCUUGAUCCGAAUUGUGGAGUGGAAUCAAGCACCUUGCUGUUCUGUUUAUGGUGUACCUUGUUUCCAGUAGCUACUCACCUCACGUCCGGCAGCAACCUAUCUAGUGAGGUGAAUCCAGUGAGGAUUUGUGAAGGUAAUUUUGGUGUCCAGCAGCAUUUCUAGUUUUGGCAGCAACCUCAUCUAGCAGAUUGCUUGGUUUCAGCAAUCUACAGCAGCUUGAUCGAGGACACUGAUUCGAGACGGGCGUCUCGACUUCGGAUUUGGAUUGACUGUACCUUCUAUUUGAGGCGGGUACCCUUUGACUUAUCUUUUCGAUAUUGUCGUAUGAUAUGUAUAGUUUAUAUAUGAUUACUAGUGAUUGAUAGAUUAUCACUUCCCCGGUUAUAGUUUAUUUGAUAUCUGUAGGCGGUUACUAGUGAUUGGUAGUUUAUCAUUUCCCCUGGAUGUAGUUUAGUUGAUACCUGAUACAUGCUUCUGUUGAUAAUUGUUAUACAUUAGUCUGACAUGCUUUUCUUUCUGGCUAUGUUUAUCUGUGUUCAUAGAGAUAGAUGUAUUUAUUGU
This is a long non-coding RNA of Zingiber officinale, 1076 nucleotides long. RefSeq lists it as uncharacterized. The transcript is spliced from 4 exons. The record is from RefSeq and is a predicted model, not a curated record. Lineage: Eukaryota; Viridiplantae; Streptophyta; Magnoliopsida; Zingiberales; Zingiberaceae.